RNAcentral lists this ribosomal RNA (1462 nucleotides) under Bothriocephalidae gen. n. sp. n. PBI_033. RNAcentral's name for it is "eukaryotic LSU rRNA". It matches the Rfam family "Eukaryotic large subunit ribosomal RNA", at positions 16 to 982 of the family's 3401-position model. Lineage: Eukaryota; Metazoa; Platyhelminthes; Cestoda; Bothriocephalidea; Bothriocephalidae. The record is from RNAcentral.
UAGGUCGACCCGCUGAAUUUAAGCAUAUCAAUAAGCGGAGGAAAAGAAACUAACAAGGAUUCCCCUAGUAACGGCGAGUGAAGAGGGAGAAGCCCAGCACCGAAGCCUGCGGCAAUUUUGCCGUUAGGCAAUGUGGUGUUUAGGUCGGCUCGCGGGACUGCUGCUCCAUUCUAAGUCCAGCUUUGAGUAUGGCUUCUGGACUUGGCCCGUAGAGGGUGAAAGGCCCGUUCGGAUGGAGGAUAAGAGAAGUGGGCAGUUCACUAUGCCGGCCUUCGAGUCGGGUUGUUUGAGAAUGCAGCCCAAAGUGGGUGGUAGACUCCAUCCAAGGCUAAAUACUAGCACGAGUCCGAUAGAGAACAAGUACCGUGAGGGAAAGUUGAAAAGUACUUUGAAGAGAGAGUAAACAGUACGUGAAACCGCAUAGAGGUAAACGGGUGGCGUCAAGCUGCACGCUUGGAGGAUUCAGUCGGUCAGGGUGUUGUGUAUGCGCCUGUGUAGCAUCGAUCAGUGGGGCUUUUUGCUCAUCGCAUUGUGAGCGGAGCAUGCCGCUUGUCUGAGGACUGCCUGGCCGAUGCAUUUUCUCCGUGGCGAGCACCACGACCGGUGGUACUGCCAGUCUGCUGUGGUAAAGUCAGGUUCAGUCGACAUCCGUGUUGGUUGGACUUGAUCAUAGGCAGGCGGUGGCGUAUGGGUGCGUUUACGUGCUCGUGCCGCGCUAUGUCAGCGGGUCUGUCUGCUGAUGAUUGUAGUAGUCGGUAGAUGGCCUGGUGCACCAUGGUGGUAUGAACAACUGUGCAGGGCAGCGGUGAUUUCGGUCUCUAAUUUGGCUCGCGCACAGGCUACAAGUGGGCGUGGGGCGUUGUUGCAGUCUGCCUGUGGUUGGGCUCGAUUGUCGUGUUGCCUGCGCAAAGUGGGUCCGGCAGUAGCCUGAUUUUGGAUGGUAUUGCUAGCAGCGUUCCCUGUGCGGGCUGAUGAGGGCCUAAUAGUCAGUGGUGUAGUGGUAGACGAGCUACCCGACCCGUCUUGAAACACGGACCAAGGAGUUCAACAUGUGCGCAAGUCACUGGGUGCGACGAAACCCAACGGCGAAAUGAACGUGAAGCCUUGGCUUGUCCGAGGUGUGGUGAGAUCCUGCUGUUACUCGCAUCAGCGCUUGUGUGCUGCUUCCACCGGCAGCAGGCUAAGAGCAGUAGGCGCAUCACCGGCCCGUCCCAUGAUGUCGCUGUUGGUAGGCUGCUGCUCGCAGUAGUCGCCAGCGUGUCUUCGGGGCGGAGCUUGAGCGCACACGUUGAGACCCGAAAGAUGGUGAACUAUGCUUGCGUAGGUUGAAGCCAGAGGAAACUCUGGUGGAAGACCGCAGCGAUUCUGACGUGCAAAUCGAUCGUCAAACGCGAGUAUAGGGGCGAAAGACUAAUCGAACCAUCUAGUAGCUGGUUCCCUCCGAAGUUUCCCUCAGGAUAGC